This 506-nucleotide ribosomal RNA is filed under the name uncultured bacterium. Its description in RNAcentral is "partial 16S ribosomal RNA". It matches the Rfam family "Bacterial small subunit ribosomal RNA", at positions 28 to 523 of the family's 1533-position model. The record is from RNAcentral.
GAUGAACGCUAGCUACAGGCUUAACACAUGCAAGUCGAGGGGUAACAAGAGGAAAGCUUGCUUUUCUUGUUGACGACCGGCGCACGGGUGAGUAACGCGUAUCCAACCUGCCUAUAACUAGGGAAUAACCUUGCGAAAGUAAGACUAAUACCCUAUGAUUUCCUUUGAUGACAUCAGAUUAGGAAUAAAGAUUUAUCGGUUAUAGAUGGGGAUGCGUCUGAUUAGCUUGUUGGCGGGGUAACGGCCCACCAAGGCAACGAUCAGUAGGGGUUCUGAGAGGAAGGUCCCCCACAUUGGAACUGAGACACGGUCCAAACUCCUACGGGAGGCAGCAGUGAGGAAUAUUGGUCAAUGGGCGGAAGCCUGAACCAGCCAAGUAGCGUGCAGGAUGACGGCCCUAUGGGUUGUAAACUGCUUUUAUACAGGAAUAAAGUUAGCCACGUGUGGUUAUUUGUAGGUACUGUAUGAAUAAGGACCGGCUAAUUCCGUGCCAGCCGCCGCCGUAA